RNAcentral lists this ribosomal RNA (456 nucleotides) under uncultured bacterium. RNAcentral describes it as "bacterial SSU rRNA". It matches the Rfam family "Bacterial small subunit ribosomal RNA", at positions 340 to 786 of the family's 1533-position model. The record is from RNAcentral.
UACGGGAGGCAGCAGUGGGGAAUAUUGCACAAUGGGCGAAAGCCUGAUGCAGCUAUGCCGCGUGUAUGAAGAAGGCCUUAGGGUUGUAAAGUACUUUCAUCGGGGAGGAAAAAACAAAACUAAUAAUUUUAUUUCUUGACGUUACCCGAAAAAGAAGCACCGGCUAACUCCGUGCCAGCAGCCGCGGUAAUACGGAGGGUGCUAGCGUUAAUCAGAAUUACUGGGCGUAAAAAGCACGUAGGUGGUUUUUUUAAGUCAGAUGUGAAAUCCCUGGGCUUAACCUAGGAACUGCAUUUUGAAACUGAAAUACUAGAGUAUCGUAGAGGGAGGUAGAAUUCUAGGUGUAGCGGUGAAAUGCGUAGAUAUCUGGAGGAAUACCUGUGGCGAAAGCGGCCUCCUAAACGAAUACUGACACUGAGGUGCGAAAGCGUGGGGAGCAAACAGGGAUUAGAUACC